RNAcentral lists this ribosomal RNA (513 nucleotides) under Betamorpha fusiformis. Its description in RNAcentral is "partial 16S ribosomal RNA". It matches the Rfam family "Bacterial large subunit ribosomal RNA", at positions 1800 to 2608 of the family's 2925-position model. The record is from RNAcentral. Lineage: Eukaryota; Metazoa; Arthropoda; Malacostraca; Isopoda; Munnopsidae.
UUGUUUAUCAAAAACAUUUCUUUUCUUGUGAAAAGUAGGCUCUGCUCAAUGAAAGUCUUAAUAGCCGCAGUAUCUUGACUGUGCUAAGGUAGCAUAAUAAUUUGUCUUAUAAUAGAAGACUGGGAUGAAAGAGUUAACGUCAUUUUUUCUUUCUUAAAAUAAAUUUUUGAAUUUAAUUUUUACGUAAAAAAGCGUAGCUAGAUAAAAGGGACGAUAAGACCCUGUAAAGCUUUAUUAAAAUCUAGGUUUAGGACGAAGGCCUUUAGAAAUAAGUUUUGAUUGAGCUGGGGCGGCAAGUAUUGUAACAAUAAUUAAAUUUAACAAAAAUUUUUGAAUAUAAAGACCUUGGUGUAAAAGUUAGAAUAAGCUACUUCAGGGAUAACAGCACAAUUUUUUCGGAGAGACCUUAUUAAAGAAAAAGACUUGUGACCUCGAUGUUGAAUUGAAGGGCUCUAUUUAAGCAGAAAUAAAUAAGAGGAGUCUGUUCGACUUUUAAUUCUUCACGUGAUCUGA